This is a long non-coding RNA of Cimex lectularius (bed bug), 974 nucleotides long. RefSeq lists it as uncharacterized. The transcript is spliced from 4 exons. The record is from RefSeq and is a predicted model, not a curated record. NCBI's taxonomy places the organism in Eukaryota, Metazoa, Arthropoda, Insecta, Hemiptera, Cimicidae.
GAAUUUUCCCUCCUUUCUUGACAGUUUUGCCACUUUUUAUCUCACGUAAGAACCUUAAUUAAUUAAAAGAUAUUAAUUGGUCAAACGGACCACGAAAACAAGUGAGUUAUUUAUAUUUUUCACAGAGAGAAAAAAAUUAUCACGAUAAAAAUCACAAGGGUACAAUUACAAGUCAGUCCGAGAAACGGUAUACUUAGAACAGUGCAUACAUGGUAAUUUUUAAGAUGAAUUUUCAUUUCAUUCCAAUGAUAUAGACAAUUCGUGUGUUAUAUGUUGAUACCAAACGGUACAAAAAGUACAAAUGGGCAAUACUUUAGUCUUAAUUUCAAUCGGAACGAGAUCAGAUUUCUCACUUAACGAACCAUCCUUGAAAUAUCCCCACUAUCUUCCAUUCGACAAUUGGGAGUGGCCAGUGCUCAGUGUUAGCUGGUUGAAAUACGAAGGUUUUCGGCCUGCAUGGAAUUUCAGUGCGACUUUACAUCAAAAACAAUUUCAGGCUGAGUAAUUAUUUGAGAAAACCAGGGGUCUACCAGUAAGAUGAAACUAUAUCUAACAUUUUCAUGAACGGAUUUUCACAUCGUUUUUCCCAUUUAUCAUAAAUCCGAAUAAACUUUAUGAAUUCGCACAAUCAAUUGUAAAAAUUUCAUUUUUUGACUUUUUAAAAACAACCGUAAAAUUCCAUUUCGGGAUGUUCAAAAGCCGAGCUUGUGAAAUAAAAACAGAUUGAGCCAUUGUUAAGAAUACCAUGUGGUCCAAUACUAUCUAAAGUUUUUAUGAUUCCAUUUUCAAAUGGUUUACGACAUUUUUCAUAAAAAUAAUUGUACUUUCUAUGUCAAGGAGUUUUUGAAUAAUCCAGUGGUGCCACUAGAUACAUCACAACCUGCAUAGUAUAGAAAAUAAGAUUUAGAUAAAUUUUAACAAUUCGUCUAAUUUGUUGAAACUUUUUUUAAUUAGGAAAGGACGUUGUACAGUAU